GCCGACGGUAAUACGUAGGUGGCAAGCGUUGUCCGGAAUUAUUGGGCGUAAAGCGCGCGCAGGCGGCUUCUUAAGUCCAUCUUAAAAAGUGCGGGGCUUAACCCCCGUGAUGGGAUGGAAACUGAGAGGCUGGAGUAUCGGAGAGGAAAGUGGAAUUCCUAGUGUAGCGGUGAAAUGCGUAGAGAUUAGGAAGAACACCGGUGGCGAAGGCGACUUUCUGGACGACAACUGACGCUGAGGCGCGAAAGCGUGGGGAGCAA
RNAcentral lists this ribosomal RNA (260 nucleotides) under uncultured bacterium. RNAcentral describes it as "partial 16S ribosomal RNA". It matches the Rfam family "Bacterial small subunit ribosomal RNA", at positions 514 to 771 of the family's 1533-position model. The record is from RNAcentral.